This 425-nucleotide ribosomal RNA is filed under the name uncultured bacterium. RNAcentral describes it as "bacterial SSU rRNA". It matches the Rfam family "Bacterial small subunit ribosomal RNA", at positions 356 to 772 of the family's 1533-position model. The record is from RNAcentral.
GGGGAAUUGUUCGCAAUGGGCGCAAGCCUGACGACGCAACGCCGCGUGGAGGAUGAAGAUCUUCGGGUCGUAAACUCCUGUCGAGCGGGACGAAUGCUUUGCGGCUGAAUAAUCCGCAGAGGUGACGGUACCGCUAAAGGAAGCCCCGGCUAACUCCGUGCCAGCAGCCGCGGUAAUACGGGGGGGGCAAGCGUUGUUCGGAAUUACUGGGCGUAAAGGGCUCGUAGGUGGCCAACUAAGUCAGACGUGAAAUCCCCAGGCUCAACUUGGGAACUGCGUCUGAUACUGGAUGGCUUGAAUUCGGGAGAGGGAUGCAGAAUUCCAGGUGUAGCGGUGAAAUGCGUAGAUAUCGAGAGGAACACCUGCGGCGAAGGCGGGUUGCUGGGCUGACACUGACGCUGAUGCGCGAAAGCUAGGGGAGCGAA